Bactrocera latifrons is the source of this 787-nucleotide long non-coding RNA. RefSeq lists it as uncharacterized. The transcript has 3 exons. Lineage: Eukaryota; Metazoa; Arthropoda; Insecta; Diptera; Tephritidae. The record is from RefSeq and is a predicted model, not a curated record.
GUAGUUGCUUCCAUUCAUAGCGAUGCCCAGGCACAGCACAGCACAAAAAACUUUGCAGCGAUUUUAAGUGGAAGAUGUAUUGCGAACGUGUGUGCGCACUUGAAAGUUUGCCAUAAUAUGAAGAGGAAACGAUAGCUGCUUUUCCAUUUUCUUUCAUAUUUUCUCGUCCAAACGUGACAUUCUUAAGCCCAAGUAGGAGAGGCUAAAUUAAGUUGUGCUGGUUUCGAAAGAGGAUGUAGAAUGAACACUUGAUGGAAACGAAACACAGCAUCUUCACUAACACAAGGUGUCGAGGUGAGGAAUUAUUUCAAAGUGAAUGUCUGGCUGGGCGAUUUGAUCAACCACAAAGGACUUUGUAGCGAGUGAAAGUACAUUUGAUGACAUUAUUUAUGGAACUGGCCAUCACGGCCACGCUUGCAGAAGACCAUACUCUGAACCCAAUUUUCGACGGUUUUUAAGUAUAAACCGGCCGAUAAUGCAACAAUUUCAUGUUCGAUAUUCGUAUGAAGUUCAUCAAUCGUCGCAGGUUUGCUGGCAUACAUCAUUGACUUGACGUAGCCCCAUUGGAAAUAGUUUAACGACGUCAAUUCACAUCACCGAGGCGGCCAAUUGACUGGACCAUAUCGUGAGAUAACAAGUUCACCAAACAUUUUUGUGUGGAUUGCUGCCUGACCCAUGAUGCAUGUUCAGCCCGAAGUUAAAUGAGCCUCAUCGCUAAGGAUGAUUUUUCAAUGAAAAUCCGAAUAAUUUUCAAGAUGCUGCUCAUACCAAUUCACGAACAUAAGAC